This 427-nucleotide ribosomal RNA is filed under the name uncultured Vibrio sp. Its description in RNAcentral is "bacterial SSU rRNA". It matches the Rfam family "Bacterial small subunit ribosomal RNA", at positions 353 to 772 of the family's 1533-position model. The record is from RNAcentral. Lineage: Bacteria; Pseudomonadati; Pseudomonadota; Gammaproteobacteria; Vibrionales; Vibrionaceae.
AGUGGGGAAUAUUGCACAAUGGGCGCAAGCCUGAUGCAGCCAUGCCGCGUGUGUGAAGAAGGCCUUCGGGUUGUAAAGCACUUUCAGUCGUGAGGAAGGCGGUGUCGUUAAUAGCGGCAUCGUUUGACGUUAGCGACAGAAGAAGCACCGGCUAACUCCGUGCCAGCAGCCGCGGUAAUACGGAGGGUGCGAGCGUUAAUCGGAAUUACUGGGCGUAAAGCGCAUGCAGGUGGUUAGUUAAGUCAGAUGUGAAAGCCCGGGGCUCAACCUCGGAACUGCAUUUGAAACUGGCUGACUAGAGUACUGUAGAGGGGGGUAGAAUUUCAGGUGUAGCGGUGAAAUGCGUAGAGAUCUGAAGGAAUACCGGUGGCGAAGGCGGCCCCCUGGACAGAUACUGACACUCAGAUGCGAAAGCGUGGGGAGCAAA